Molecule: ribosomal RNA, 397 nt
Filed under: uncultured bacterium
Lineage: Bacteria
Description: bacterial SSU rRNA
Rfam family: Bacterial small subunit ribosomal RNA
Source: RNAcentral
GACGAACGCUGGCGGCGUGCUUAACACAUGCAAGUCGAGCGGUAAGGCCCUUUCGGGGGUACACGAGCGGCGAACGGGUGAGUAACACGUGGGUGACCUGCCCUCAGCUCUGGGAUAAGCCUGGGAAACCGGGUCUAAUACUGGAUAUGACUCCAUGACGCAUGUUGUGGGGUGGAAAGCCUUGUGCGGCUGAGGAUGGGCCCGCGGCCUAUCAGCUUGUUGGUGGGGNGAUGGCCUACCAAGGCGACGACGGGUAGCCGGCCUGAGAGGGCGACCGGCCACACUGGGACUGAGACACGGCCCAGACUCCUACGGGAGGCAGCAGUGGGGAAUCUUGCGCAAUGGGCGAAAGCCUGACGCAGCGACGCCGCGUGAGGGAUGACGGCCUCGGUGUAAC